UUGUAAAGAAAAAAAACACAACCACACACGCACGGUCUCGCGCUCGCCUCCCUCUCGCCCAGGAAGUCCUUGCCGCCGCCGCCGCCCACGCCGGCCGCUUCCGGCGAGCUCCAGCGCCGUGCAGCGCGUAACCGAGCUCCCCACGCUCCACGCCUCCCUCCCCUUCGGCCAGAUUCUCCGCUCCCGGCCUCUAUCGUCCGUUCGCAACCCCACCCCCAUGGCUAGAGUUUCGGGCAAGGCUUCGCCGGCGCGUCUCCAUCCCCGCUUGCUGCCUUCUCCCACCACGCCGGCCUCCCUUCCCUAGCAACCCUCCUGCCGUGGAGCACCCUCACACUGGACACUCCUUUCUUUCCCCCUCCCGUCGCCGAACUGGAGCAGCAGCCGCUCCUCCUCCACCUCCCCAAUUUGGGACAGCAACACCACGAGCUAACACCCCGGCGACGAUCUCCUGUUGGUGUGGGUCGGCGUGGGCUUGCCCGAUCUGGGGUAGAUGCGCCGGUUCCAGCGUGGAGAGAUGAGAAGGAAGGUGGGACGGGAGGCCAAGGCAAUGACGAAAUCCACGUCGAGCUGCCAUGGCCAUGACCAGAUCCACGACGAGGUUAAAUGGGGUCGGCUGCUCCCUACAGGACGACGAAGCUCUCCAAGGGCGGGCCUUCUCUUCUCCUCGAAAUUGAUGUGCCUGUGGCAUGCUUGCUUUUCAUGUAUUGACCUCGCGAAAUACAAGAGCAUCUCAUCUUGAUUUGGUGUUCUAUUAAAGGAGCAAUGAGCUAGGGGAUUUUUCAGGGGAUGGGUGCCUACCUUGCUUGGUUACAGUGCUCAGGGGGCUUGCAAGUUUGGGUUCUACGAGUUCUUUAAGAAGACCUACUCAGAUAUGGCUGGGCCUGAGAAUGCCGUGAAGUACAAGACCCUAAUUUACCUUGCAGGGCCAGCUUCUGCUGAGGUAAUUGCUGAUAUCGCUCUGUGCCCCUUUGAAGCUGUCAAGGUCCGUGUGCAGACACAGCCUGGAUUUGCUCGUGGGUUGAGUGAUGGGCUUCCCAAGUUCAUCAAAGCUGAGGGUGCUGCUGGGAUGGAGAGAAUAUGUAAGGCUAAUGUUUGAGCAGAAGGAGAGUGAAAAGAUGCAAGAGUGAUACACCCAAGCACUUGAUUUGAGUCAAACAUGGUUUGUUGUACAGGAUUCCACCGUAUUUGUCCGCACAAAUAGUGCUUGAUAUUUACUGAUAAUAGUUUUUCUCCAAGUUCAGUGCCUACAUCUUUAUUUUCCUAAUAUAGUCAUAUUGCCCAUAAACGUGCAUCUUUUAUUUUGAGUUCUUCCUGGGUGCCACACUGAAGGCGAAUUCUUCCUAGAUGUAUCAUGCACCUGUAUCUUGCCGUUCUAUAUUCUCAAAGGUUUCGGACACCACUUUGACCUGCGACAAAUAUUUGGACUAUUUAUUUAGUGACACUGAUCAUAGCUGCCCGCAGGUUUUAUUCACUCACCAACUCUGGCUUUUGGUGUACACGGUACACCGUGAGGCAAGUAGGUUGACAAUUUCAUCUGUUAUCAUGAGUGUCGUGUUUACUCUUGCAGUUCAGUUAUUAAGCUUAUGCUUAAGAUGAUUGUACUGUCUAGAGGUGGAAUGGCUAAGCUCUCUUUAUAAUCCUUUUACUGGAUAUCUUGCAAAUGGCACACUAAAGGGGAUGAAAGUAUUAGGUGUGGGGGUAUCAGUCCACUAUGUUCUUAUGUCUAUGGAUCCGCGAAAUGUUGACGCUUUAUUGGUUUUGGUCACAAAAAUGUUUGGUGUACAUGCUUUCAUCUUGAAUAUAUGUAGCUCUAAAGUAAUACUACUUCCCAGUUAGUUCAUUGAAGUAAUGAUACAAUCAAUUGGAUGCUUUUCUACUGUUAUGGAUCUAGCGGGAAAAAAAAGUUGUUUUGAUGUCAUUGUUUUUCACCAUAGUUCAUUGUCAACAUCUUUAUUCUCCUAAUACAGUCAUAUUAUCCAUAUAAGUGCAGCUUUUAGUUCGUAAAAGUACUUUGUACUUAGCCCAAUUGAUUUAAAUAGAUCCCUUGUUUAUACAGUAUGUAUGAGACACCUUGCAAUUAUUUCACUAGAUCGAUGGAUGAUAGCUUGCUGUUGCAGAUGAAACCGAAGAAACUGUAUCUAUCCUGGGCCAGUUGCCAACCAAGCCAACAUUGUCUCAGUUACCGGUUCAAAGAUGUCUCAAACCACGCACAAACAUUUCAGUUGAUACAUACGCCAUAAGUUUGGUUGUCUGCUCUUUUAAAUGCCCAGAAGCAUAACUCUCGAGAUCAUUGCGGAGAUCAUUGCUCACUGAACAUAAGACCAGAUGUUCCAAUUUAUUUUAUUGCUCAAAGAAGAAUUGGUGUUCUGUUGUGUUAUCCUGUGACACUAUAUGGCAUCAGGUUGUUUGCUUCUAUCGAUUGGUUUGUGGUUUGUGGGUUGUGCUUUGCACCGUCGUUAUCAGUGUUUCUGUUAGAUUAUUGUCUGAUCUGUUCCACCAACAGAUAUGGAAGUUGUUGGUGUGGUGAUCGUUGUAGGGCCCGGGCUGACUGGCAGGAAAGUUGGGGAUGUCGUCGCGUAUACAGGCAAGCCGAUGGGCUCUUAUGCUGAAGAGCAGAUUAUUCCAGCCAAUGUUGGUUCCCGUCACGCCUUUGAUUGAUCACACAGUGGCUGCUAUCAUGCUCAAGGGGGUGACUGCCCAUAUGCUGGUUCGCCACAUAUUUAAGGCAUCAUUAGAGUGCUUGGCGUCCUGCGUUUUCCUGGUGUCGUUCGGCAGUCCUCAGCCUCGCCCGACCCGAUCUCCAUGGGCGACCUGGCAUCCAAGUCGUUGUUCCUGACGAGGCCGAGCAUGAUGCACUACACGGGCACCUGCAACGAGUUGCUUGAGGCAGCCGGCGAGUUGUUUCCAAUGUGGUCUAUGGGGUGCUGCACAUCCGUGUGAAGCACACCCACCCGCUGCCGAAGGCGUCCCGCGCUCACACUAACCUCAAGGCCCAGAAGACGCCGGGCUCCAUACUGCUGACCCCGUAGAACUAAGCACCGUCAUCUUUUUUUUGGGUAGGAGAAGAAGGAAUAAACAGGGGACUCUGCGAUCUAUGUGCUCUAGAAUCUACAAUGCUUGUGAAUAUGUUGGUAGGAGUUGGCAUCUGAACACUGAAUCCUAUCAGUUUGUUUCACCUGGUUAUGUUGGAUUCAGUGGUGGUUAUGAGUUGGAUUGUGGUCUUGUUGUGCACAUCACAGUUUAAAGCAUGACGAGUUGUAAAGUCUAAUAUUUUUCAAUAUGGUCACCUAGCAGGACAAGUAUUUCCCUUA
This is a long non-coding RNA of Triticum aestivum (bread wheat), 3311 nucleotides long. RefSeq lists it as uncharacterized. The record is from RefSeq and is a predicted model, not a curated record. The transcript is spliced from 4 exons. NCBI's taxonomy places the organism in Eukaryota, Viridiplantae, Streptophyta, Magnoliopsida, Poales, Poaceae.